Cyprinodon tularosa is the source of this 268-nucleotide long non-coding RNA. RefSeq lists it as uncharacterized. The transcript is spliced from 3 exons. NCBI's taxonomy places the organism in Eukaryota, Metazoa, Chordata, Actinopteri, Cyprinodontiformes, Cyprinodontidae. The record is from RefSeq and is a predicted model, not a curated record.
UUCUGAAGGACAUAAGAAUUUCCCCCUUAACCCUAUCAGCUAACAUCUCAUAAAGAGUGAUUUUUGGACGGAGGAACAAGUUCUUUAAGAGAAGUGGCAGUGAUCCAGGGUCAGCCUGCAUUCAUUCCUCAAACCAAAAAGAAUUUCAAGGGACCAGUGCCAGUGACGCCCACUUCCAGGUCUACCACCUGGAAGGUGCUGAUGUGCUGGAACCAGGACCAGAUGGAGGAGGCGGUCAGGGGGAACUACAGCAGUGCUGAGAGGGAGG